GCCGCCCGCUCGGCCUCUCCGCGAGAGCCGGAGACAAAGAGCAUCGCGUCUUCCGUCCGCGUAGCUCGCUCGAGGGCGAAUGCGGCGAGCUGGCACACGUAGCGGGCCAGGGUGCGGCGGCGGUCCGGACCGGGCGCCGGGGCAGGCCGGGAGGUGUCCGCGCGAUGCCCUCCCGAUCCCCUUUUCAUGAGAAAGCCCCGUGCUCGAGCUCCUGCACCGGCCAAGCACCGCGUACCCUGGACAGCCACCAUCGGGUACUCCUUCCUUGGAUAUCACAGGAGAGUGAAAUCCGAUUAAUUUCCCUGUGUUUCUAUGACUAAACAGUUAUCGAAGAAGCCUUGCACAUAUUUGUGACAGUAUUGUUGUCUUACCAGCAUUCACUUUCUUGCCUAAAAGGUAGUAAGUCUCAAUAGCCUAAUUUAAAUCUACUUUCACAAGUUCUCUUUUUUAUUUCUGCACCUCUCUGUAUUUUAUAGAUGAGAAUUCUUUAUAUUUUAUUUUAAAAAACUGUUGUAGAACCAAAACACCAGAACCUGAAAAAAUGGUACCUGGCAUGGAAAAAACUCUUAUUGUGCAGAGUUAUAGAUAAAAAGUUGUACAUAGUGAAACACUGUAAAUACGCGUAUGUUACAUAUUUCGGGUGUAAUGUGAAAUCCAAGUUUGCACAUGCAUGUUAAGAACAUUAAACAGGCUACAAAUAUUUGCAAUUGCAAGCAGGAGGGAUACUUCAGUGGCUGGUUGUUCAAAUCCCAGAAGAUGGUCCUUUGGCAUGUAUAUUAAGCUGUAUUAUUGAAAUGUUUUCUUAAAAGUGUUAACAGUUACUUACAAAAUUCACAGGGAUAAUGAAGACUAGAAAUGGCCAACAUGCCAGUCACUUUCUCAAAAUUACUUUCAAAUUCUUGAAAACUUUGAUAACAAAUCCUCAGGGAAAUUAGGUUUGUAUCCAGAAGAAAAGCAAAGGAGUUAACACCCGACAUGGAUCUCUAAAGACAAGGUGCAUAACACCACUCGGAUACCUUAUGUUGGAGCAGCAGUACAUAAGUGGCGGAAUAGCAACUUUACUAUAGUAAGACUUUUAGCAGUAUCUAUGUGGGAUUUUCAUGAGCAAACUAGGGAAGCAUAGUGGUGAUGAAGUUUCAAUAAGGUAAGUAAAUAUCUUGUUUGGUAUUCAUCCUCAGAAAGCAAUAGUCCUCAGUUCAAAACAAGUACAUUUGAGUGAGGGUUCAAACAUCAGUGUGCUGUUCCUAGUCCACUGUUUUCUUAAAUCACUUUGGUCACAAAAUAAGUACACUUAUUAAUCCACAAGCAAUCUGAAAUUGAGAGGGACUAGAAGUAGUAGAAGUUGUUGGUUUUUUUUAGAUAGUCUGAAAAAUGGACAAAGUACAAUGCAGGUAAGAAUAAUAUUACAUAAAACUAAAUAUCUGAAUGCAGAAAUUCAGGGGGGGCUUCUGAGCUGUAUGGUAUUUCUGCAGAAUAAAGCAAUGGGGGCCAUAGUACUUCACAAACUGAGUCAAUGUCAUUCUGCUGCCACAGAAAAAGGAGCAAGCAGUAAGCAUUAUACUUGUGUAUAGUAUGCAUACCUUAGAUGCAUGAAGUAAUUCUUGUACUCUACACUGGCAUGGCCUAAACUAAGGCCUGCAUCUAGUGAGAAGAUGGCAAAAGAUUUGGCUAUAAUAAUAUUCUCCAGAUAAUAAAAAAAAAAAAAAUGAUGGCAAAUAAUUUGUUUCUCAAUAAUACUCACAGUUUAGAGGAAAACUGAAUUUGUUUUCAUGAACUGCAAGUAGGUGUAACUUAAAGACUAAGCAGAAAUAAGCAAAAAAUAUUUGAAAAGCCUAAAGAAGUUCUAAAAAUUAUGCCAUUUCUAACAUAUAAGUUGGGUUUUUUAAAUAGUAACAAAUGAGUAUAGUUGAUCUUGGUUGGAAAUGGGAAGUUGGACUAGAUUAUCUCCAGAAUCUUCCAGUCUUGUUUUUUUGCAAUUCAGUACUUUUACAUGAACCAGAAUAGGACAAAAUUGAAAGCUCAGUCCAGGCGGUCAAAUUUGUAAAUGCCCAAUCUGUGUGUGUUUUAAAGCUGACUGCCCAUUUUUUGUGUUACAUUUGUAAUUUCACUUUUCCUAGCUUUAUUAUGCUGUGAAUAUAAACGUCCAGCUUUCUUCAUAAUAUACAUGUUUUCAUGUAAGUAUUUCUCCUCAGCUGGCAGAUUGCCUUUUUUCUGAGUCCAAUCGUAUAUGCCUUCCUCUGUCUAGGAAAGAAUAAAAGAGCAUAAUGAAUCUUUGCUUCCUUUUGCUUCAAACAAAACAUGUCCAACACCAGACUUCCAAGGAAUGAAGAAAGCCAGCUGGAAGAGCAUCUCUGCACUGCAGUGAAAAGCUGCAGCUCUGGAAAGCUACCAUGUCAAAAACAAAUAGCAAGUACUAUGACUGAAUCACCUGAAACAGAAGGUACUUUUAUCAGCUGGUAUGAAAAUAUCUGAAUAUUUUUCACCUUCAUAUAUUGAUGUCAUGUUUUCCCUCCAUGAUCUACAAUUCUACUUUCAUGAUAGAAUUUAAUGUGCUCUGGCAUUUAUUUUCAGGUUUACUGCUUUAUUCACGUAUUGACCUGUUCAGUGCAAUCCUCUAAAACUAAAUUAUUGCUGCUAUACAGGUUACAACACACAGAAAUUAAUUAAACCAUUGUGAUACACUGAUUCUCCCUGUUUACAAGAUUUAGUUCAUAGAGUUCAUAGCCAGUGGUGUCACCAUAGUUUAAUGUGAAGAAGAGCUAUUGCAUCAUCUCCUAAUUUAUCUGUGGAGGGCUCGACCACCUUUUGAUUUAGGAUCUUAAUUUGAGAAAACUCCAUAAAUUAGUAACGCCAGCUGUAGCCUGCAGAGGUAAUAAUUAUGUAUUUUUCUCCCUUUCUGUGGUUGUUGUUUUGGUUUUUUUUCCUGACUAUCUUUUGUCAGAGUCCUGUGUCACUAUAGAUUCACAUAUGCUUGCCAAAAUGUCAACUUUCUGAAUCUUGUGAGGUUUCAUCUGCAGUCUUGGUGGGUACAAAACAAUGAGAGAGAGCAGGAUGCCAAGUUAUCUGCCAUCAAUUUCUAAACUACAGGUCACCUGUGGAGAUCCUGCACACUGUAGGGGCAGAAUAUGACACUGUUUUAGGAAAUGCAGCACAUUAUUGCUGACUUGUGUCAUUUUAUAAUAGCUGGGUUGCUUUUCCACCCAAUUGCAUCAGCACACAGUGGUCCUUCCUUUUCUGUCAGAAAAGACAUGGGUUUUUCUACCUGAAACUACUUUUUGGUGGCUCUCCCUUGUUCAGCCUGUAGAAGUCUCAUACUUUGGGGUUGCUCAGCUUUUGCACAAAGAAUCAUAGGAUCACCAAGGCUGGAAGAGACCUUCAAGAUCACCCAGUCCAACCAUCCAUCCAGCACUACCACUGUAACCCCUAAGCCACAUCAGACAGAAACAUAUCCACACACUUCUUGAACACCACCAGGGGUGGUGACUCCACCACUUCCUUGGGCAACCUGUUCCAGUGCCUGGCAACUCUGACACUAGAAAAGUUAAUUUUUCCAAUAUCUAAUUUGGAUCUCUUCUGUCUCAGCUUAAGGCCAUCUGCAUUGAACUGCUUUUGGGCUGCCGCUGGCCAGAACUGUGAGCAACAAGGGCUUGUGCCCAAAGUUAGGGCCUCUCUGGUCACUCCAGACAGUGAGAACUCCUGCAUAUACCACGGCCUGGCAGUACAGCCAUGGACAGCUCAAAUCAGCUUUGCACUGGCAGCUAGCAAAGCUCAGAUUUUUCUUGUAGCUCGUGGGUCUGGACCCAGGAAAUCCCAUGGCUUACCUCUGGAGAUCACUACACGUGCUUUUAAAUGAACAGAAGGAAGUACCACCAGGAAGGGACCUGCUCACUGCCAAGCAACGAGGAGAGAUAAAAAAGGCGAAUGACAAUACCAAACCUUGGAGUCUAGAACCGCGGUCUUCUAUGGCUUUGUUGUGGGUAUUGCAACAACUCAGCACCAAGCAUUUAAAAAUCUCCGCGGAUUUCUCUAUUUAAGUAACUAAAUUCUAAACUAAACUAUAAACCAACA
Molecule: long non-coding RNA, 4068 nt
Organism: Parus major (Great Tit)
Lineage: Eukaryota; Metazoa; Chordata; Aves; Passeriformes; Paridae
Exons: 2
Source: RefSeq, a predicted model, not a curated record